This 77-nucleotide transfer RNA is filed under the name Helicobacter sp. 11S03491-1. Its description in RNAcentral is "tRNA-Arg". It matches the Rfam family "tRNA". Rfam says of the family: Transfer RNA (tRNA) molecules are approximately 80 nucleotides in length. Their secondary structure includes four short double-helical elements and three loops (D, anti-codon, and T loops). RNAcentral also lists the same sequence under 2 other names. The record is from RNAcentral. Lineage: Bacteria; Pseudomonadati; Campylobacterota; Epsilonproteobacteria; Campylobacterales; Helicobacteraceae.
GCGCUCGUAGCUCAGUUGGAUAGAGCAACAGCCUUCUAAGCCGUAGGUCGCAGGUUCGAAUCCUGCCGGGCGUACCA